Molecule: non-coding RNA, 29 nt
Filed under: Rattus norvegicus (Norway rat)
Lineage: Eukaryota; Metazoa; Chordata; Mammalia; Rodentia; Muridae
Source: RNAcentral
UGUCAACAAAUCUCUUUCAGUUUGCUUGG